GCCCGGCCCAGCGCCCAGCCCGGCAGGCGGCGGGCGGCGGCGGGCGACGGGCGACAGGCGCAGGAGCAGGAGGAGGGGGAGCCGCGCCGCCUGGGAGGGAAGCCGGAGCGAGGCGAGGAGGUGGCGGGAGGAGGAGACAGCGGGGAAAGGUGUCAGAUAAAGGAGGGCUCUCCUCCCGAGCGGAGGCAUCAUGGCCGCUAAAUCAGACGGGAGGCUGAAAAUGAAGAAGAGCAGCGACGUGGCGUUCACCCCGCUGCAGAACUCGGACCACUCGGGCUCGGUGCAGGGACUGGCUCCGGGCUUGCCGUCGGGGUCGGGAGCCGAGGACGAGGAGGCGGCCGGGGGCGGCUGCUGCCCGGACGGCGGAGGCUGCUCGCGCUGCUGCUGCUGCUGCGCCGGGAGCGGCGGCUCCGGGGGCUCGGGCGGCUCCGGCGGCGGCGCUGGCGGCUCGGGCGGCGGCGGGGCGGGCUCGGCGGCGUUGUGCCUGCGCCUGGGCAGGGAGCAGCGGCGCUACUCACUGUGGGACUGCCUCUGGAUCCUGGCCGCUGUGGCCGUGUACUUCGCGGACGUGGGCACGGACGUCUGGCUCGCGGUGGACUACUACCUGCGCGGCCAGCGCUGGUGGUUCGGGCUCACGCUCUUCUUCGUGGUGCUCGGGUCGCUGUCGGUGCAAGUGUUCAGCUUCCGCUGGUUUGUGCACGAUUUCAGCACCGAGGACAGCGCCACCGCCGCAGCUGCCUCCAGCUGCCCGCAGCCUGGAGCGGAUUGCAAGACGGUGGCCGGCGGUGGGUCUGCAGCCGGGGAAGGCGAGGCUCGUCCUUCCACGCCGCAAAGGCAAGCAUCCAACGCCAGCAAGAGCAACAUCGCCGCGGCCAACAGCGGCAACAACAGUAGCGGGGGUACCCGGGCUAGUGGCAAUCACAGAUCUGCGUCCUGUUCCUUCUGCAUCUGGCUCCUGCAGUCACUCAUCCACAUCUUGCAGCUCGGGCAAAUCUGGAGAUAUUUCCACACGAUAUACUUAGGUAUUCGAAGCCGACAGAGUGGGGAGAAUGACAGAUGGAGGUUUUACUGGAAGAUGGUCUAUGAGUAUGCGGACGUGAGCAUGCUGCAUUUGCUAGCCACCUUUCUGGAAAGUGCUCCGCAGCUGGUCCUACAGCUCUGCAUUAUCGUACAGACUCAUAGCUUACAGGCCCUCCAAGGUUUCACAGCGGCAGCCUCCCUCGUGUCCUUGGCCUGGGCCUUGGCUUCCUACCAGAAGGCCCUCCGGGACUCUCGAGAUGACAAGAAGCCCAUCAGCUACAUGGCCGUCAUCAUCCAGUUCUGCUGGCACUUUUUCACCAUUGCUGCCCGGGUCAUCACGUUUGCCCUCUUUGCCUCGGUUUUCCAGCUGUACUUUGGGAUCUUCAUUGUCCUUCACUGGUGCAUCAUGACCUUCUGGAUCGUCCACUGUGAGACAGAAUUCUGUAUCACCAAAUGGGAAGAGAUUGUGUUCGACAUGGUGGUGGGGAUUAUCUAUAUCUUCAGUUGGUUCAAUGUCAAGGAAGGCAGGACACGCUGCAGGCUAUUCAUUUAUUAUUUUGUGAUCCUUUUGGAAAAUACGGCCUUGAGUGCCCUCUGGUACCUCUAUAAGGCUCCCCAGAUUGCAGACGCAUUUGCCAUCCCAGCGCUGUGUGUGGUAUUCAGCAGCUUUUUAACUGGCGUUGUGUUUAUGCUGAUGUAUUAUGCCUUCUUUCAUCCCAAUGGACCCAGAUUUGGGCAGUCACCAAGUUGUGCUUGUGAGGACCCAGCCGCUGCCUUCACUUUGCCCCCAGACGUGGCCACAAGCACCCUACGGUCCAUCUCCAACAACCGCAGUGUUGUCAGCGACCGCGAUCAGAAAUUCGCAGAGCGAGAUGGGUGUGUACCCGUCUUUCAGGUGAGGCCCACUGCCCCAUCCACCCCAUCAUCUCGCCCACCACGGAUUGAAGAAUCAGUCAUUAAAAUUGACUUGUUCAGGAAUAGGUACCCAGCAUGGGAGAGACAUGUGUUGGACCGAAGCCUCCGAAAGGCUAUUUUAGCCUUUGAAUGUUCCCCAUCUCCUCCGAGGCUGCAGUAUAAAGACGAUGCCCUCAUUCAGGAGCGGUUGGAGUACGAAACCACUUUAUAAAGCAAAAGGAGUUGCAGGAGCCACAACAUCCAGAUGAAGGGGUGACAGCGGGGCUGUGGCAGUAAUGACACUUCAUCCUAGAGCAGGGCAGUGAGCUGUGAAGUUUCUAGUGUGACCGUCAUCACCAUUAUCAUUUGAUCCUGUCAACUGGGAGCGGCUGGCCUCCUUCCAAAGCAGCUGCACCCAAGAGUCUGAUUCCAUCUGAAAGAAUGUCGCUGCCUUUGUAGGACUCUCCAUCGCUACCAAACUCCUCCUGCACGGUCUUGGGGUGCACCUACCAGAGGGUACUAUUAUAAUGGAAAAUUUUGCCUCCAAUCAUUAGGGUGUCUUGAUGGUGUUAACUGAUGUUUCCAUAAUAGAUUCAGUCUAGCCGGGCAUGGUGGCACGCGCCUGUAGUCCCAGCUACUCUGGAGGCUGAGGCAGGAGAAUCACUUGAACCCGGGAGGCAGAGGUUGCAGUCAGCUGAGAUCAUGCCAUUGCACUCCGGUUUGGGCAACAGGAGCGAAACUCUGUCUCAAAAAAAAAAAAAAAAAAAAAAGAUUCACUCAUGCACACAUACACACACUAACACAAAUAACACCAGUCCUCUGUCAAAAUAGCUUAGGUGACUUUUCUUCAUGCAAAGCUCUGAUUUCCACAGGAAUAUAAAAACAAAGAAAGAAUAUAUCCCAUGAGAAAAAAAAAUAGUACUGCUUAGAAAAGAAUUCACAAACCAUUUUCUCAUUUGGAAAUCCAUACCAUGUGUGAAAAUCCUAUCCAAUGAACAGCAAACCCAAAUGUUGUUUACACGUAUGUUAGCAUUGAUGGAAUGGUUCAUUUUCUACGUGUUUCAGGAUUUGUUUUAUAUUUUAAAUUUUCAGUUGAGAGCAUCGUUUUUGACAGAAAUCCUAUGCAGCCCACGUACGGCUUUGGACAAGACCAAGGAGCUCAGAAACUUCGUGAUGUAAAUUAAAUAGUAAUCAUGAUUCAGUAUUCAAUUGCAAAAAUGUAAUAGGUCUACAAAGAGGAAGUGGGGAAAAGGCUAAAUGAGAGUCUGAUUCCCAGGCAUGUGCAGCUCCCACUGGGACUUCACAGUAGAGCAGCGCAAGCCAGAGGGAUGGGCUGGAACCAGAUCUGUUUCCAGACGCAGAAUGAGUGGCUCUGUGUGACCAUAGGCAGACACGACUCUGGAGGACGCCAUGCCACUCCUUUCUAGUGCCAAACACCGUCCAACCACAGGACUGAUGUGGAAGCCCUGAACAACUGAGGAUGAGUAGUGUGAGCCCCCUAAAAGCAGGAGAGAGAACGAACAAUCACGUUCUCCACUGUGUACAGACUUUCCCUCCCCUCAAUCCAAGGUCAAAGUGAUGUGUCUUUUAAAGGCUUUGGGACACAUUUUAGUAAGUAUGAGCAGACAAAUGCAAUCAAUAGGUUACGAAAAAACCCUUCUGAACUGAUAGAGGGCUUAUCACUAUAUCCAGCUAAGAUUUGUAUUUGACUCAUCUGUAAAGCCGCACUCUUACAACAAGCUUCUGGGUUUUAAAUACCUCCGUACAGCAAGUAAACGUCCCCCGCUUUCUGUUCUCAGCGCCCUCCGUCAUGGUGCUUUUCGUUGCAUUAAAAGUGCCGGUCAAACUUUGAUAGUAUUUUUUUAUAGUUGGUGCAGAGUGGAACAACUCAUGGAUUAUUUCAAUAUUUUUGUAAUAAAAAAUAUAGGGUAUACACAUAGGCAUCAUCACUUUUUUUACAGACCUGGAAUCGUUUAAAAUACUUUAAGCAUCAUAAUCACUUGGGAUGUCAGAAACUGGUCCACAAAUUCCAUCAGCCUGCCUCAGCAGAUUGAAAACAUUUGUCUCUUGCAAGAUCACCCUACUUUGCAAGUUGGUGCCCCCAGGAACCUGGCCAGGGGUGCUAUCAGACUAUCAGGUGAAGAGAGAAUCAGCUUAAAUAGAAAGGGCUUGUCAAGACUGGCCAAUGUUUCCCAGGAAAUCAAAGAUGUCAAUGAUUACUUUCAUCCAUCCAUUAUAACAACCUGACCACAGUGGAAGAUGUCUUAAACUUCCUUCCCUGGUUUUAUAUUAACCCAACUGAUAGAUUAAGUAUUAGUCAAACCACUAAAAAAUAAAAAGAAAGUUUAACUUAAUUAUUCAGUUAUUUGGACUAAUUCCCAUAAAGUAGUCCAGUUCUCUAGCUACCACCUGUAAUGGGUGUGUCAUCCAGAGACUGUGUCCCCACGAUGACAUCCACAGGAAGUAACAGAGGGCUCAACCUGGGACUUCUUUUGGUGCAAAGCCCCAGAGCAAUUUUUUUUUUAAAUAGACAAUUUUUAUAAGUAGACAUACUUCCUAAUACUCCAUGAUUUGAUCCUCCAAGCAAGAUUUUCACUAAAAAAUACUAACCUUUUGUUGGGAUGUGGAAAGAUUACGUAGUCACCAGUAAAGGCCCAAGAGAAGGCUCUUCCUGUCAGCGCAUGGUGAAAACAUUCCGCCCUCCCAUUGUAGAAGGAAAAAAAUGAUGAUUUUGGCAAAUUCUUCACUUUUGUGCAGAACCUUGAGUUAUUAGCGUCAUUGUUUCCAAGACAACUUUUAACUGAUGAUCUUUGGAAAUUGAGUUUCUCAGUUGAACUGUAAACCUUUGAUUCUAUGAGUAAAUCACAGAUUACAAUCUAGUAGAGUCAAUCAACCAACACAAACCCAACAGGCCCCAUCAUGCUUCAAUCAUGUAAGUUCUAAGUUAUUUCUCAACUUGAUCCCUCUGUUAAGAGUCAGAAUGAGUACUAUGUCAAUUUUAAAUCUGUACUGUUCUUUGAGUUGCAGGUGAGAUUGGCAGGAAGGAGAAUGUAGGGAGGUUGAAUUUUUCAGUGAUUUUCCAAAUACUGUAAAUACUCUGUUAUCCAGCAUACCUGAAGAUGAUGAUGUUUUAGUGAGGCAUGAAUUCUUGUUAAGGGAAGAACAUAUCCACCGUGCGAUGAAUCUCAACCUUUCAAAAGAUUACAGGAGCAACCUACUCUAGAGAAACAUCUUGGAGCUUGUCAAGCUUUACUGGAGGUGAUUUGCAGUUAACUAAUUCAACAGACACUUUAAUCUUGCAAAUUCUUGACUUGCAAUAUUGUAACCAAGCUCCUGCCAGGGAACAUUAAUCAGUGAGUGGAAAAGGAGCACUUCCAUUCAGCCUCAGCGGUAGUUCCACCACGUGCCCAGGCCUGAAGAAAGACCUCUGUGAAGCGGAGCCUGGUGAAUUCCUGCUACCUGCUUCUCCGGCUCAUGCUAUGAAUAUUCAUCUGCUUCCUUUGUUUUUUCCAGUAAGCGCUGUUUUGGAUAAAAAGAAAAAAAAUUCCUGGGGCUUGCAUAGCUCAGAGAAUGGGGUACUCCCGCCUUGGAGACUUGCUUUAAAUGGAUUCAAAUCCACAUGUUUGGAAGUGAAAGUCAUGUCAUCUGUGGAAUAACUGACCUGAGUACAGUUGCUGCUUUUAUUUCGUUUCUUGAGACUACCAUUUUCAGCGUCGUGAUAACCAAUUUGUAAAAAUUGAGUUUUUAUUUAAUUUCAGGGGUAAAAUCUGCAUGGGUGUAGCUACUGAAUAAUUUGAUUCCUGCCUUCCUAGGUGGUGACAUGAGCAGUUCCAACCCGAGAUCCAUUUCUGUGUGGAAUCGGCUAUCCUGUUGCUUCUCAGCCCUGCAAAACCUUGGUUGCGAGCUCAAAGAUCACAAAUCCGAUGUUCUUAAUGACGAAAUUUUCACUUAGAGGGAAACAGGUCGUCUCUUAAUUUUAAGACAUGGUUCUUUCUCCCUUGUUUCUGUUUUUUUUUUUUUUUUCUUCAGAGCAAGAUUUGAGUUGCAAGAUAAGAGUGAGGUUAUCAGGUCAUAAUUUCAGAGUAUAUGAGAGAGUGAGGCCUCCAGAUGUUCUUGUAAAGUUUUCUGUCUAAUCUUUUGGUAUAACAAUUUCAGGAGUUAGCCCCAGAUGAAAGAGUAGACGUCAUCAGAUUUUUCAACAAGCAGAUUGAGAAGAGGCAAGGAUUUUCUUGUGUUUCAUAGAUGCUUCUCCUCCCUAAGCUGUCACGUUGGUGGUCAUCACCAAGACAUAUAAUAGCAAGGACUACUGAAUGAAUGAUCCUCCUAGUUAUCGGCCCUAGUAUCACAGCAAGUCUGUUUUUAGAACUAGCUCUUGGCACAAGCACCGAAAUAAAAUUGGGGGAGAAAGCGGUCUACCAUCAUGUGACUUAUUUUCAAUUGCCAGGCAGUGAAAAGUAACAAGUUAAAAAAAAAUGUUCAUUUUCUGAAUCCCAGAGUCCACAUAGGUACAAUGAUACUGUAAUAUGCAAUGAGGCGGCCAAUCGUGGGGAUAUAGGAGCUAUAGACAGCCCUCUGGAGCAAGGUUUAUGGGUAACAGUUACUCUGCGUGAUUGGGUGUUGGGUCAGAGGGUUUCUAUUAAUGUAGAGGACCAAGUAUAGUGAUGAAGAGAAAACCUGCCAGUGGUUCAUCCAAAGUAUUUGCCUUUUCAAAGAGCAGAGAAGUUCAAGAUAGUCACUGCCAGUCCAUAACUAACAACAGACAUAUACCCUUUGGGAAGGCCAGGGCCUGACCCAAGUGGGAAGAUAGUCUAAGACUGGUGGUGACAUGUCUAAGACUGACGCUCUCAUUAAGAGAACUCAUUCCCUCCGACAGGGCUCCUUGACCACUGGCCCCUGUGGGCUCUGCAGGAGAGCUUCUGAUGGGUUCUAAGAUAAGGCAUUUUAAGGUAUUGUAAGUCACUCUUGUUUGUAGAGCAUGAAUCAUUUAACCAUCCCUCCUUUUAAGAGCAAAGAGAUUCAGGGUUACCAUGGCCUUACUCAUCUUCCCACUGUAAAUAUAUCACCAUGUCACAAGAGCCUCUGUGUCCAAACGUACUAAACUGGGUUUACAAGCAUUCGAAUCUUUCACUCAUACCGUGACUCUCAAUUGUGCCAGUCACCUAGUCUAUCUUCCCAAACUGGAAAAGAAUAAUUUUUGUGAAAAUAAUUUUCAGAAUAAUGGAAGUGGAAAGAAAUAGAGAGUUAAGCAAUUUUUCAACAUAGACAAAAACCACUGGACCAUUGAUAGCCCUCAAGCUCUGAUUUUUCCUCCUAAGAUUCUUUUCUUUUGAGGGCUUUCAACACCUGAAUUUUCCAGAUGAUUGCUAAACCAUCUUCACUAAACCAAAGUAGAUGAGGUGUUAAUAAAAAAUAAAGGCCGUCCGCAUGACUGUAAAUACUGCAAUGAAAAGUGGCGAAGUACGUCACCCAAGUGGCAAGUUUGGUCUUCAUGAUAUCAAACAUAUGGAUAUUUGGAAAAGUCAAGAUGUUUGAAGCACACAGUUUUCUAUCUGGGUGUCUGCUGUCGUUCUGGUUAGACAGACUGCUCGGGUAUUGUGAGUAAUGGAACUGAACUUUCUCAUGCAGUAAGCAACUGCUGGUCCUGUUCUGCUGCUCAAAGUCUCUCUGUUGUGCAAAGAGCAACCAAUGCAGAGCAAAUGUUAUUUAAUUGUUAUUUACUUUCGACAAACACAUAAAUGGAAGAGGUCAGGCAGGCUGUCCUGGGUGUUCUGGGCCUGGCUGAGGUACACCCUCCUUCACUCUGCCCCUGCCAGGGAAGAAACUUUCUAUUCAGUCUUUGCCAUCUUUUAUAAAUUUUAUCAUUGCUCUUCUGCUGUUCCUAUCAUCUUAGUUAUUCACAAAGUCUACUUGAUAAAAUGGCUUGAAGGAAAUAUAAAUUUGUUAAGUUUUUGUUCUUCAAAUAGAAGUUUUAAUUUUAAGCAUUCCUUAUGAUAUUUUUUAAGCCUAGAAACAGUUCAAACUGCUUGACAAAAUUAUUUCAUGGUGAAUUUUAUGGUGUUGAUAGAAGUAAAAGCUAUUUUUCCCAAACAAAAUACCGUACAUAGUUUUUUGGGUUUCGUUUGUUGAUGUCAUGCCAAUUUUCAGGCACCAACUGGUUACCACAAAUAUGGGAAUAUUUAGCGAUUUCUUUGUAGUCAUUAAAAUUCCUGGGGAAAAAGAAAAAAUUUACAUCAAAGGAAAAUUCAGCUCCCAGAAGUUUGAAACGUUCAUCCUGACUCUUCCAUUCCCGAUUAUUUGGGGACACUUCUUCGUUGUGACAGUAAGAAGUCGAUCUUGUUUCUCCUGAUUUGACACUGGGUUGGUGAGCAUUGUGGCAAAUUUUGUGCUAACCCCAUUUACAACCCUGAAGCUUAGCGGAAAAACAGGUAAACCAUUCAGACCCGUUUCUUUAAGAGCACUUUUGCCGCAGAACUUGAUACAGAUGAUUGACCAUGAGUAGGCACACAGAGAAUGGAAAGGUAUUCAGCUAUGCAAAGAUAGUGAAGGGAUUUCCAGAGAAAACCUAAACGUUUUGAAGAUCUGUAGGUAGGGUUUUGAUUGUGUCACAUUCUACACUCAGUGCCAAGUUACAAUGACUUUAUGGGGAAGGCAAUAAAAUUCCUUUUUGGGGCCUUUCUUCCCUCACAUGCAGAAUGUUUUCAUGAAAGCAAAUGGAUCCUCCACUUUGUGUAGCAAGGAACCCCCCUCAUGCCCCACAGCAUCAUCAGUGGCAGUCCCAUAGCAGAUGUGUGUACCAGCCCAAUUCAGUUUUGCUUUUCUUUUUAACUGAGAUCUUUAUUUCACCAAAUCCCAUUUCAAGUUACCAACAGGAUGCUUAGUUGAAUCAGCAACGAGGUGACAAUCAAUUGGCCUCCACAAAAGUAUGAGUCGUUUUAUUCCGUGAUCUUUGGUAGUGUGAUAAUCAACGGAAUUUAUGGUUUCGUAGAAAACCAAAAAUCCCUGUGUUGAAUAUAGUGACUGUCUUAAAUAUACUUAAAUAUCUUAUUCUACAAAACACUAUCCUUUUACACUGUGGGAUGGAUUCCUUUCUGGAUGCAGGGAUGGGAGGGGCUCUGGGUCAGUGAUUGGGACACAGGAACUGGGAAUCUCUGCACACCUGAUCCGCAAUCCCUGGUCCAUCUCUCCAGCCUCGAAAACUCACCCUCGGCCUCAUUUUUCCCAUAUGCAAAAGAGAGAUAUUUAUUUACCUACCUCAUAGGGGUGUUGUAGAGAUUUGCUAGAGUUGCUAAAGUGCUUGUAGGUUAGAAAGCGCUGUCAUUCCUGAGAACUGGCAUUAACAGAGGAGAGCUGUGCACAGCGCAGGGUAACUGGAGUCUGAGGAACACAAUAGCAAUAACUCGCCAAGCAGAGAAUACGAUGGUUCUUCACCACUAUGUAAAACUAACGCUUUUCCUUCAAAGGUCUAUGUAUAAUUUUCUUCAAUGAUUAGCUUUUUAAUGAGAUAACUCCCUUUUGUCCCGACAUUGAGAGGCUUCAUAUAAAUUGACCAUUUUCCUCUGAACCAAACUGAAUUUUACUAAAUGUUGAUUAAAAUGCAUCCAGAAAACUUGUCUCCUCCUGAUGCCUGGGGGAUUUGCAUGCCUGAUCCCAAGCUGCUUUUUUCAGAAUGCAUGCAUGAUGCCCCGGUUCGGUACUCAUGAUCACCAGGUGGCGUUCUGAAAUCCACUACCCGGGGAAGAUUUUAAACAGAUAUUACUGAGAUGAGAGCUGGAGUCAUUUCCAGUGAGUUUCCUCUUCACCCCUAAGAUGACACAGCUUUACAACCCAAUAAAAGAACGUAAAGCCUUAUUUCCACCUGGAACUCCUGAAUUGAUUCCUUUUCAUGUUAUAACCACACUUCAAACAUUUUGGAGAAGCUUUUACAUAGGGCCUCAGCUAUAUAUUGAUAUCAAUGCGCUUACUUGUGCUUAGAUGGAAAUUCUACUCAACCAUAAAGGAGACAGUGAGAAAACAACGUCAGAGAAUAUUCCUGCAUAACUUCCCCAAGAGGUACAGUUUUCUUGUACUUAAAAGUUGAAUCCUGAUAAGAACUAAUGCUAAAUAACAUGAUUUCGGUUUAUAAAUAUUUGUAAUUUUUGAGACAGAGGCAAUAUUGCUAUAUAGGAAUACCCAUAAAACUAGACUAGCAAAGCAGAUGUUUUUAUGAUGUGGCUUUACGAGGCAAAGUUGUACAUCAAUAUUAUCAUUGUGCCUUUAUUUAGUGAUUAGAUUCCAUUGUGAAAAAAAAAAUUGCAUAGUCUUAGAAAUAGAAAGUGGGUUUUGGAAAGUUUACCUUGAGAAGUGGAUUCGAAAUCAUCUUGUGCUUAUAGCUGAAGAUUCAUAGUCAAUAAAAUCUCUUCUGGAUUCUAACAUAUAAUUGGCAGUGAUAUUUCAAAGCCUUAACAUUUUUAGAUGGUUAAUUAAACAUAUCUAAUGCAUGGUAUUACACUUUCUGAAGCAUGAAUUUAACCUAGGCAAUUAUCUGAUUUAUUUUUUUUAAGUUUGUGCUGCCAUGCCAGAUUGAAGUAUGCUUUUUGUAAACUAAUAACAUGAGAAUAGUGAGUCAAAAAAUAAUUGGGAUUGUCCUUUUCCCCCCGCCCAGUUCCUACUCUCAAUACUCUCCCAACCGGAAGUGCAACCGAAUAUCCUUUUUGCUAUGAAGGGAUAUACUGUGUUUUUAUUUGUUUUGCACAAGAAAACUGGUGUUGCCUAUUUGGACUAGAUACAGGAGCCACUUUGCAGGUGGGGUGACCAGGAUGGGAGGAAGAGAGCUGGGCGAAUAUGUCAUGGGAAGAUUUUACCACAAAGAGACAAAGCAGAAUUGUAGCGUGUUAGAGCUGGACAAUGCUUUGAAAUGAUAGAGUCGAGAUUCUUCACCAAACAGAUGAAAAGACAAGUGGAUACCACAGGUAAUUGAGAUAUAAGCUACACAUCUCAUCACUGGGAGAAAGGAGACUUCAGCCUCUUUUCAAGGCUUUCUAGACCACAUGGAACUCCCCAUUUCAGCAAAGAUUCACGUGGUUAUGCUGCUGAGGACCAGUCAUUCUGUAAACAUCACAUAUAUGAUGUUUUCUAAAUGUCUUAAUUGUUGUCAACAUUCAUAGCUACUUCCCAUUAACAUUCUAGUCCAUGAACAAGUGAUAGAAACAAUGGAAAUUUUCUUUUGAUCAAAAGAAGUGUCUCCCAAUUAAUUUAUGUCUGUUAGUACUCCUGACAUUUUUAUUGUCCUCACAAGAUUCCUUUUAUAUCUAGAUGCUAUCAGAUAAGAAAAGAAUGAAUCAUUUGAUCAAUUUCUUAUUGAAGAUCCCAUCUAAAGCCUUUCUUUGGUAAUGUGGGCAGAAAGAGACCAUAGCCAUUCUUGGAUGAGAACCUUGCCUCUACUAAAUAGAUUCUGCUUUCCUCUCAGUAGCCAGACAGCUCAAUAGCCUAGGGAGAGAUUAAAUGAAGGAUAUGCAAAUUAUGUUUUUCCCAUUCUCAGAACAAGACAGCAACCAAUGAGCCAGAGGUUCCUUUCCUCUUUAAAACCAAAUAGUACACUGAAUUUAGGGCUAUGACAAAAAUGUUGUUAAAGCAAGAGCAAAAUCAUCCUUCCUCUGGAUUCUUUUCUAUGUGUUGACUAAAUUCUUUUUGCAGUUUGGAUUGGAGCUUCUAGUAAUGAUAUUUAAUGUCAUUUUACAUUAAAGCUUCAAUGCAGAUAUGGUGUGAGCAUGAGUUACAAAUGAGAUGACUUCAUCUGUACUGACAUUCUACCAAGCUGACUGGAAACAAAUACCACCACCACUAACAUUCUGAUUUAAUUAAUAACACCUAGUAGAAAAAUGGAAGCAUCUUGCUUAGCACGAAACCACUGCACAAUAUAAACGUGCUCCCAAAUGGCAAGGAUUUUUCCUACCAACAUUUGUUCUUCGUUCUCCAAUUAUUUUAAGUAAAUAAGUUUCACAUCUAACUACCUCAACUACAGUCGUUUUAUUUAGAAACAUGAAACCAUGCACUAUGUAAUCAACAAGUUCUUUCAUUUAAAAUUUCAAAAGGAUACUUGGUGCAAAGCAAUUUUCAAAAAUUUGUACAUGAUAUACGCCACCCAACCUCAGGAGGUUGUCCUUAAUUUUGUUUGCUUGUUUCUAAGGUUGGUUUCGGGUUAAAUCCUCAUUUCCACUCAACACCAAGAUAAGCUGCUCUGUAUUUGCUUCAUUUGCCUUAAACAUUUGUGCUCCUUUCCCUGUUCAAUUAUUUUUGUUUUGUUUUGUUCUAAAUCUAUCUCUGAAAAAAAUGGAACAGGUGGCAGGUGAACAGCAAAUGGAAGAGACUGGACCAAUAAUUUCUCAGUCCCCUGUUGUCAACUAUCUGCAUGACAUUCUGAUUGUGCAAAAAUGCCAUUCCUGUGCUUCCCUCUCCAUUACAGAAAUAGGGUCUGCAAGACCCCACGUGUGUGCAUAGGGAACGGUGUAGACAUUUCCCCAGUAUGAGCACAGUGCCUGGACCCGAAUGCUCAUCUUGGCAGUUCUUGUGCUUUUACUUUGUAAACAUUGUACAAAUGUAUUUGGAGUUUUAUUUGAAAUGGAGACUUAAACUAGUUAUUAAAUUUGUUUCCUUCCUGUAAAUAUAUAUAUUCAAAUUCCAUGUAUCCAAACAUCCCUUUAGCGUUCAGAUUGUAAGUGUGUCUUUAUUCGCGGAGGCCACUGUCGGCCGGCAGUGACCCCCAGUGCCCUAGUUUGAAGCACAGUUCGUGGAGUAUUUGAUGUGCUACAGUACCAUAGUUACCUUGGUCUGUUAAGUAAGUUGCAAUUUGUGAUGAAAUGAAGUGGAAAGUAGUACUUCAUAAUGAACCAUUUUCCUUGGUUACAUGAUUUUUCUUGUAAAACUUAAAGGAAAAAAGGAAAACUUGAAAUUUUAUAUAUUUGGAUUUUGUAGGUUUUUUUUUUUUAUUUUAUUGCAACACAAGGUACCAAAAUCAUUAAAUAAAGUACACUGUGGUCAUUUUAA
RNA transcript from Callithrix jacchus (white-tufted-ear marmoset), 12936 nucleotides. It is a transcript of the gene named XK related 4, with no coding region annotated. NCBI's taxonomy places the organism in Eukaryota, Metazoa, Chordata, Mammalia, Primates, Cebidae. The record is from RefSeq and is a predicted model, not a curated record.